This 468-nucleotide ribosomal RNA is filed under the name uncultured bacterium. RNAcentral describes it as "partial 16S ribosomal RNA". It matches the Rfam family "Bacterial small subunit ribosomal RNA", at positions 28 to 507 of the family's 1533-position model. The record is from RNAcentral.
GACGAACGCUGGCGGCGUGCUUAACACAUGCCAGUCGAACGGAAAGGCCCUGCUUUUGUGGGGUGCUCGAGUGGCGAACGGGUGAGUAACACGUGAGUAACCUGCCCUUGACUUUGGGAUAACUUCAGGAAACUGGGGCUAAUACCGGAUACGAGCUCCUGCUGCAUGGUGGGGGUUGGAAAGUUUCGGCGGUUGGGGAUGGACUCGCGGCUUAUCAGCUUGUUGGUGGGGUAGUGGCUUACCAAGGCUUUGACGGGUAGCCGGCCUGAGAGGGUGACCGGCCACAUUGGGACUGAGAUACGGCCCAGACGCCUACGGGAGGCAGCAGUGGGGAAUAUUGCACAAUGGGCGGAAGCCUGAUGCAGCAACGCCGCGUGCGGGAUGACGGCCUUCGGGUUGUAAACCGCUUUCGCCUGUGACGAAGCGUGAGUGACGGUAAUGGGUAAAGAAGCACCGGCUAACUACGUG